GAUUAACGCUAGCGGCAGGCCUAAUACAUGCAAGUCGAGGGGCAGCAGGGUGUAGCAAUACAUCGCUGGCGACCGGCGCACGGGUGCGUAACACGUAUGCAACCUACCUUUAACUGGGGAAUAGCCCUCCGAAAGGAGGAUUAACACCGCAUAACAUCACGAGACGGCAUCGCCUUGUGAUCAAACCUCCGGGGGUUAAAGAUGGGCAUGCGUCCGAUUAGCUAGUUGGCGGGGUAACGGCCCACCAAGGCGACGAUCGGUAGGGGGUCUGAGAGGAUGAUCCCCCACACUGGUACUGAGACACGGACCAGACUCCUACGGGAGGCAGCAGUAGGGAAUAUUGGACAAUGGGGGCAACCCUGAUCCAGCCAUGCCGCGUGAGGGAAGAAGGUCCUCUGGAUUGUAAACCUCUUUUGGCGGGGGACAAACCUGCACUAUACGUGCAGCUGAGGGUACCCGCAGAAUAAGCACCGGCUAACUCCGUGCCAGCAGCCGCGGUAAAUGCG
RNAcentral lists this ribosomal RNA (506 nucleotides) under uncultured bacterium. RNAcentral's name for it is "bacterial SSU rRNA". It matches the Rfam family "Bacterial small subunit ribosomal RNA", at positions 28 to 527 of the family's 1533-position model. The record is from RNAcentral.